RNAcentral lists this ribosomal RNA (484 nucleotides) under uncultured bacterium. RNAcentral describes it as "partial 16S ribosomal RNA". It matches the Rfam family "Bacterial small subunit ribosomal RNA", at positions 30 to 507 of the family's 1533-position model. The record is from RNAcentral.
AUUGAACGCUGGCGGCAGGCCUAACACAUGCAAGUCGAGCGGAUGAAGGGAGCUUGCUCCUGGAUUCAGCGGCGGACGGGUGAGUAAUGCCUAGGAAUCUGCCUGGUAGUGGGGGAUAACGUCCGGAAACGGGCGCUAAUACCGCAUACGUCCUGAGGGAGAAAGUGGGGGAUCUUCGGACCUCACGCUAUCAGAUGAUCCGAGGUCGGAUUAGCUAGUUGGUGGGGUAAAGGCCUACCAAGGCGACGAUCCGUAACUGGUCUGAGAGGAUGAUCAGUCACACUGGAACUGAGACACGGUCCAGACUCCUACGGGAGGCAGCAGUGGGGAAUAUUGGACAAUGGGCGAAAGCCUGAUCCAGCCAUGCCGCGUGUGUGAAGAAGGUCUUCGGAUUGUAAAGCACUUUAAGUUGGGAGGAAAGGCAGUAAGUUAAUACCUUGCUGUUUUGACGGUACCAACAGAAUAAGCACCGGCUAACUUCGUG